Molecule: ribosomal RNA, 119 nt
Organism: Pteropus vampyrus (large flying fox)
Lineage: Eukaryota; Metazoa; Chordata; Mammalia; Chiroptera; Pteropodidae
Source: Ensembl
GUCUACGGCCAUGACACACUGAAUGUGCCCGAUCUCGUUUGAUCUUGGAAGCUAAGUAGGGUCAGGCCUGGUUAAUACUUGGAUUGGAGAUCACCUAGUAAUACCAGGUGCUAUAGGUG